This 254-nucleotide ribosomal RNA is filed under the name uncultured bacterium. Its description in RNAcentral is "partial 16S ribosomal RNA". It matches the Rfam family "Bacterial small subunit ribosomal RNA", at positions 524 to 776 of the family's 1533-position model. The record is from RNAcentral.
GACAGAGGUGCCGAGCGUUAGGCGGAAUCACUGGGCUUAAAGCGUGUGUAGGCGGAUCCGUAAGUACCUUGUGAAAUCCCACGGCUCAACCGUGGAACUGCUUGGUAUACUGCGGGUCUUGAGCCACCUAGGGGCGAGCGGAACAAGUGGUGGAGCGGUGAAAUGCGUAGAUAUCACUUGGAACGCCAAGUGGUGAAAACAGCUCGCUGGGGGUGUGCUGACGCUGAGACACGAAAGCCAGGGGAGCAAACGGG